RNAcentral lists this ribosomal RNA (250 nucleotides) under uncultured bacterium. RNAcentral describes it as "partial 16S ribosomal RNA". It matches the Rfam family "Bacterial small subunit ribosomal RNA", at positions 524 to 776 of the family's 1533-position model. The record is from RNAcentral.
UACGAAGGGGGCUAGCGUUGCUCGGAAUUACUGGGCGUAAAGCGCACGUAGGCGGCUUUCUAAGUCGGGGGUGAAAUCCUGGAGCUCAACUCCAGAACUGCCUUCGAUACUGGAGCUCGAGUCCGGGAGAGGUGAGUGGAACUGCGAGUGUAGAGGUGAAUUCGUAGAUAUUCGCAAGAACACCAGUGGCGAAGGCGGCUCACUGGCCCGGUACUGACGCUGAGGUGCGAAAGCGUGGGGAGCAAACAGG